This 231-nucleotide long non-coding RNA is filed under the name Mytilus galloprovincialis (Mediterranean mussel). Lineage: Eukaryota; Metazoa; Mollusca; Bivalvia; Mytilida; Mytilidae. The record is from RNAcentral.
GGUACAAUUUCAGAACAAUUGAAAUACUUAUACACAACUAAUUGUCCUGACACUAAAUAAAUGCUUGUUUUGGGCCCCUUUGGGCCCUUUAUUCCUAAACCUUAGGAACCAUAACCCCAAAAAUCAAUCCCAAGCUUCCCUUUGUGGUUAUAAACAUUGUGUUAAAAUUUUAUUGAUUUCUAUUUACUUAUACUAAAGUUAUUAUCCGGAAACCAUCCGUCUUCGGACUAU